GAUGAACGCUGGCGGCGUGCCUAAUACAUGCAAGUCGAGCGAACAGACGAGUAGCUUCCGCCGCUGACGUUAGCGACGGACGGGUGACUAAUACGUGGAUCACCUACCUAUGAGACUGGGAUACCUUCGGGAAACCGGAGCUACUACCGGAUAACAUGUUGCACCGCAGGGUUCCACAGUGAAAGACGGUCUUUCUGUCACUUAUAGGUUGAUCCGCGCCGCAUUAGCUAGUUGGUAAGGGAACGGCUUACCAAGGAAACGAUGCGUAGCCGACCUGAGAGCGUGAUCGGCCACACUGGAACUGAGACACGGUCCAGACUCCUACGGUAGGCAGCAGUAGGGAAUCUUCCGCGAUGGGCGAAAGCCUGACGGAGCAACGCCGAGUGAGUGAAGAAGGUCUUCGGAUCGUAAAACUCUGUUAUUAGGGAAGAACAAAUGUGUAAGUAACUAUGCACGUCUUGACGGUACCUAAUCAGAAAGCCACGGCUAACUACGUG
RNAcentral lists this ribosomal RNA (497 nucleotides) under uncultured bacterium. RNAcentral's name for it is "partial 16S ribosomal RNA". It matches the Rfam family "Bacterial small subunit ribosomal RNA", at positions 28 to 507 of the family's 1533-position model. The record is from RNAcentral.